This 253-nucleotide ribosomal RNA is filed under the name uncultured bacterium. Its description in RNAcentral is "partial 16S ribosomal RNA". It matches the Rfam family "Bacterial small subunit ribosomal RNA", at positions 524 to 776 of the family's 1533-position model. The record is from RNAcentral.
UACGUAGGGUGCAAGCGUUAAUCGGAAUUACUGGGCGUAAAGCGUGCGCAGGCGGUUUUGUAAGUCUGAUGUGAGAUCCCCGGGCUCAACCUGGGAAUUGCAUUGGAGACUGCAAGGCUAGAAUCUGGCAGAGGGGGGUAGAAUUCCACGUGUAGCAGUGAAAUGCGUAGAGAUGUGGAGGAACACCGAUGGCGAAGGCAGCCCCCUGGGUCAAGAUUGACGCUCAUGCACGAAAGCGUGGGGAGCAAACAGG